AUCACUUUGGGAUGGACCCGCGCCGUAUUAGUUAGUUGGUGAGAUAAAAGCCCACCAAGACGAUGAUACGUAGCCGACCUGAGAGGGUAAUCGGCCACAUUGGGACUGAGACACGGCCCAGACUCCUACGGGAGGCAGCAGUAGGGAAUCUUCCACAAUGGACGAAAGUCUGAUGGAGCAACGCCGCGUGAGUGAUGAAGGUUUUCGGAUCGUAAAACUCUGUUGUUAAAGAAGAACAAGUGUUAGAGUAACUGUUAACACUUUGACGGUAUUUAACCAGAAAGCCACGGC
This 291-nucleotide ribosomal RNA is filed under the name Apilactobacillus kunkeei. RNAcentral describes it as "partial 16S ribosomal RNA". It matches the Rfam family "Bacterial small subunit ribosomal RNA", at positions 214 to 497 of the family's 1533-position model. The record is from RNAcentral. Lineage: Bacteria; Bacillati; Bacillota; Bacilli; Lactobacillales; Lactobacillaceae.